Molecule: ribosomal RNA, 250 nt
Filed under: uncultured bacterium
Lineage: Bacteria
Description: partial 16S ribosomal RNA
Rfam family: Bacterial small subunit ribosomal RNA
Source: RNAcentral
GACGAAGGGGGCUAGCGUUGUUCGGAAUUACUGGGCGUAAAGCGCGUGUAGGCGGUUUUCCAAGUUGGGUGUGAAAGCCUUGGGCUUAACCCAAGAAAUGCACUCAGUACUGGAAGACUAGAGGACCGGAGAGGAUAGUGGAAUUCCCAGUGUAGUGGUGAAAUACGUAGAGAUUGGGAAGAACACCAGUGGCGAAGGCGGCUAUCUGGACGGUUUCUGACGCUAAGACGCGAAAGCGUGGGGAGCAAAC